CCUACGGGUGGCAGCAGUGGGGAAUAUUGGACAAUGGGGGCAACCCUGAUCCAGCCAUGCCGCGUGUGUGAAGAAGGCCCUCGGGUUGUAAAGCACUUUCAGUGAGGAAGAACGCCUGGUGGUUAAUACCCAUCAGGAAAGACAUCACUCACAGAAGAAGCACCGGCUAACUCCGUGCCAGCAGCCGCGGUAAUACGGAGGGUGCGAGCGUUAAUCAGAAUUACUGGGCGUAAAGCGCGCGUAGGUGGCUUGAUAAGCCGGUUGUGAAAGCCCCGGGCUCAACCUGGGAACGGCAUCCGGAACUGUCAAGCUAGAGUGCAGGAGAGGAAGGUAGAAUUCCCGGUGUAGCGGUGAAAUGCGUAGAGAUCGGGAGGAAUACCAGUGGCGAAGGCGGCCUUCUGGACUGACACUGACACUGAGGUGCGAAAGCGUGGGUAGCAAACAGGAUUAGAUACCCGUGUAGUC
Molecule: ribosomal RNA, 465 nt
Filed under: Vreelandella stevensii
Lineage: Bacteria; Pseudomonadati; Pseudomonadota; Gammaproteobacteria; Oceanospirillales; Halomonadaceae
Description: partial 16S ribosomal RNA
Rfam family: Bacterial small subunit ribosomal RNA
Source: RNAcentral